This 21-nucleotide unclassified non-coding RNA is filed under the name Mus musculus (house mouse). RNAcentral describes it as "oocyte_clustered_small_RNA929". Lineage: Eukaryota; Metazoa; Chordata; Mammalia; Rodentia; Muridae. The record is from RNAcentral.
CAUCUGGGGCGUCAAUACGAG